UGCGCCAUCGUCUAACUGGCAGGACGCGAGGGUUUGGUUCUCGAAAUGCACGUUCGAUCCGUGCUGGCGCAUCCA
RNAcentral lists this transfer RNA (75 nucleotides) under Hyphomonas sp. RNAcentral's name for it is "tRNA-Gln". Lineage: Bacteria; Pseudomonadati; Pseudomonadota; Alphaproteobacteria; Hyphomonadales; Hyphomonadaceae. The record is from RNAcentral.